AUUUAAUUAUAAUUUAAAAUAUUAAAAUAGUAUUAGUUAUAUUCUUAAAACUUAAAAAAUUUGGUAGUAUUUUUUCUGAUCAGAGGAACUUGUUUUAUAAUUGAUAAUCCUCAUUAAAUCUUACUUAAUUUAUUAAAAUUUGUAUACCGUCGUCAUCAGAAUAUCUAAAAAAAGAAAAAAUUUUCUAGUAUUUUAAAUAAUAAGUAUGUCAGAUCAAGGUGCAGUUUAUAAUUAAGAAAAAAUUAGUUACAAUAAAAGUAUUUAUGUUGGAUAUAUAAAUGAAAUUUUAUAUAAAAAUUGGAUUUGAAAGUAAAUUUAAUAAUUAAAUUAAAUUGAUUUAGAUCAAUAAUAUGC
RNAcentral lists this ribosomal RNA (354 nucleotides) under Diadocidia spinosula. Its description in RNAcentral is "partial 12S ribosomal RNA". Lineage: Eukaryota; Metazoa; Arthropoda; Insecta; Diptera; Diadocidiidae. The record is from RNAcentral.